AGGACCGCGUUGGAGAAGCAGGGCACGUGCAUGCAUGUUCUUCUUCUUCUUCUUCUUCUUCUUCUUCGUCUAGCUCCUGCCUUGUGUGGGUUGGAAGUUUAGAACUCGCACUGCACGUGGUCUCCUUCUCCAUCCCGGUCUU
RNAcentral lists this microRNA precursor (142 nucleotides) under Oryza punctata. Its description in RNAcentral is "pre miRNA MIR164". It matches the Rfam family "MIR164 microRNA precursor family". Lineage: Eukaryota; Viridiplantae; Streptophyta; Magnoliopsida; Poales; Poaceae. The record is from RNAcentral.